UUGUUGUUCAUCUCUUCUUUAGACUAACAGCUACCAUCCCUAUGCAAAAUGAAGGCAGUGCUGUGUGAGUCGCCAAUUGUGUGUAUACCUGCUACCAAAGCUAGAAGCAUCUCACGUUGUGAAGCAGGGGGAUGACAAGCUGCAGAGACUGAAGUUCUCCAGGAAGGAGACUUCAUGUAUUUGAGGAAGUGCUAAGCAUCAUGAUGGUAUUUAGCGACUGUUGGAGGCAUAACUGGAAUAUCAUUGGAAGCAGAGGAUUGUGAAUGAUGAGUUAUUAGUCAGCACAUGACACCACAUACACAUUCAGUUCAUAAGAAAUAAGCAGCUCAAGCAGAAGGAGCCUGUGCUAGAGAUGUCCCGUUCAGACAACCAGC
Gavia stellata (red-throated loon) is the source of this 374-nucleotide long non-coding RNA. RefSeq lists it as uncharacterized. The record is from RefSeq and is a predicted model, not a curated record. Lineage: Eukaryota; Metazoa; Chordata; Aves; Gaviiformes; Gaviidae. The transcript has 5 exons.